CAUAUCUUUUUCACCGAAGUAAGAAAAUUAACUGUUGUUUCAAUGUAAUUAUCCUCUUUUUGUUGCUAGCCAUGCUUUCAAGAGAGACGUGUACUGUUAAAGAUAGUAAGUUAUUGAUCUCACUUGAUGUUAAAUUAUUAUUCACGAAUAUCCUGAAGGAUCUUGUCCUUGAUUCUAUUAAAAAAAGAUGGAGUGAAAUUUCAUGGUUAAAUUGCUGAGUCAUCCAAUUUAUGGAAAAUAUUUCAUGAAAUAUGAUUCGGAUUUUCAUUAUCACUUUAAUGCCGAUGGUUUCUUAAAACGAUUGAUUGAAUGCCAAGGAUUUAAAAUUAAGUACUACCAUUUUAGAGAGGAAGUAAUAUAUCAAUCUGAUUAUAUUUUACCGAAUAGCAUCUUUGAGCUUCCUUUCAUACAUGAACUGACACCUGAACAACAAAACGACCUUAAGAACAUAUUAAAAGAGAAAUGG
Molecule: non-coding RNA, 466 nt
Organism: Nylanderia fulva
Lineage: Eukaryota; Metazoa; Arthropoda; Insecta; Hymenoptera; Formicidae
Source: RefSeq, a predicted model, not a curated record